GGCCAGUAUGGUACAUUCAUUGAUUGAAGCGUAUUCCUUACUUGACCAGAUGAAUCAAGCCAAAAGUGGCCUCCAUGGAGGAGAUGGCAAGCUUCCACACAGAUGCCUACCUGCAGCACCUGCAGAAGGUCAGUGAGGAGGGAGAUGAUGACCAUCCGGAGUCCGUGGAGUAUGGACUGGGUUAUGACUGUCCGGCUACUGAAGGGAUCUUUGAGUAUGCGGCAGCCGUGGGAGGAGCCACCAUCACUGCAGCCCAGUGCCUGCUGGACGGCAAGUGCAAGGUAGCAAUUAACUGGCCUGGAGGGUGGCAUCAUGCAAAGAAAGAUGAAGCUUCUGGCUUCUGUUACCUGAAUGAUGCUGUCUUGGGGAUCCUGCGUCUGCGCCAGAAAUUUGACCGUGUCCUUUAUAUCGAUUUGGAUUUGCAUCAUGGGGAUGGAGUUGAAGAUGCCUUUAGUUUCACCUCAAAAGUCAUGACUGUUUCUCUGCACAAGUUUUCACCAGGAUUUUUCCCAGGCACUGGUGAUGUGACAGAUGUUGGCUUGGGGAAAGGCCGCUAUUACAGUGUGAAUGUACCUAUUCAAGAUGGCAUUCAGGAUGAGAAAUAUUACCAGAUCUGUGAAACCGUGCUGAAGGAGGUGUACGCCGCAUUCAACCCAGACGCGGUCGUGCUGCAGCUGGGGGCAGACACCAUUGCCGGAGAUCCCAUGUGCUCUUUCAACAUGACACCUGAGGGAGUGGGCAAGUGCCUGAAGUAUGUCCUGCAGUGGCAGCUAGCAACUCUCAUCCUGGGAGGAGGAGGCUACAACCUUGCCAACACAGCUCGCUGCUGGACAUACUUGACUGGGGUCAUCCUUGGGAGAACGCUGUCCUCCGAGAUCCCUGAUCACGAGCACUUCUUUCCCUGCAGCCAUUCCACAUUCCCAUCUCCUGAACCUCUUUCAGACCAUCUUUCAGACCAGCAAAGCACUCGACAGUUGUGCUACUACAGUGGGCACUGCCCCUUUGUCUGGGACACCCUGCUGAUGCCAGGGAAGACAUUUGCAGUGCCAGUUCUUCACAGAGUACGGUCCUGAUUACGUGCUGGAGAUCACACCAAGCUGCAGACCAGAUCGCAAUGAGCCACAGAGAAUUCAGGAAAUUCUUAACUCUAUCAAAGGGAAUCUGAAGCAUGUUGUUUAGCGGAGAAGGAAGGCUCAGGUUUCCACAAGAGCAUUUCCCAUGGGGAAGACGGCGUGUUUAUGUGAGCAGCUGGUGAAAUUUGUAGCUGUGGGGGAAAUUUGGAAGAAAUUACUGUUGGUUGGUUGAUUUUUUUUCUCUUUAAAGAAGAAAAGCUGCUGCACACCAUGAGCACCAUGGCUCUCCCCAGGCAGGAGUGUGGGCCCUCCAGCCACAGCCUUCCAGUGCUGGCAGAGCCUUCCUUGCUCCUUUCCGUUUCCUUUUUUAACACCACAGAGUUUAUUCUCACAACUGGUUUUAAAUGUUUUUUAAGAGAGGGGCUGCUCAGAGCUGUGGACCCUCCCCAGCUGGAACCCAGUGCCACAUUGCCUUCCUGGCAGGAGCAUGGCCUCUGAGCUGCCCACCCGGGGAGCGGUGCCAAGGGCCAGCUGGGGCCUGGGGCACAGGCUCUGCCUCUUUCCCACAGAAAGGCACAGCCAUUGUGUUUUUAACUGGGAAUUUUUUUAAAAUAAAGAAUUUGAAAUACUCCUCCAGCCCCUUCCUUUCUUCCUGCGCCCAUCCUGCCUAGCCAGUGCUCUUUUCCACAGCACUUCACAUGUUCAGCGGAGGUCCAGCCAGCGCUGAAAAGCAAAGAUCUGCAGUUGUUUGCAACGGUCCUUUCCAGCCUCCCUAAGGCAGCACAGACACCACCCCCCUCGCCUGGGGUGAUGGGUGGGCUCCUGAAAUCCUGUGUGGAGGGGACAGACCCUGGGGAUGCUCUCCCGUGUCCAGGGAGGUGCAGGGCAGGGUGCAGCUCCUCCAGUGCCCCAUGAGAGCUCCCACUCAGCAUCUCAGCAAGGAGACAGGUACACAAAUACCUGGGGCAGGUCCCUCCUGGAGCCCCGGGCCAUGGAGUCCGGCCUCUGCUGCCCUUGUCCCCUCCUUCACCUGGCCCACGGAGCUUUUAUUUGUGCUGUUUCUUUUUAAAGAGGUCCAGUCGCCGUGGGAAAGCAUAUUUCCUGUUGCUUUAAUUAGAUUACGCUGGAAUAAAUAGCAAG
Athene cunicularia (burrowing owl) is the source of this 2213-nucleotide RNA transcript. It is a transcript of the gene named histone deacetylase 8, with no coding region annotated. The transcript is spliced from 11 exons. Lineage: Eukaryota; Metazoa; Chordata; Aves; Strigiformes; Strigidae. The record is from RefSeq and is a predicted model, not a curated record.